RNAcentral lists this ribosomal RNA (53 nucleotides) under Pelagirhabdus fermentum. RNAcentral describes it as "partial 23S ribosomal RNA". Lineage: Bacteria; Bacillati; Bacillota; Bacilli; Caryophanales; Bacillaceae. The record is from RNAcentral.
AGUUAAGUAAGAAAGGGCGCACGGUGGAUGCCUUGGCACUAGGAGCCGACGAA